AGUAGAAUUUCCAGGAGGAG
RNAcentral lists this non-coding RNA (20 nucleotides) under Rattus norvegicus (Norway rat). The record is from RNAcentral. Lineage: Eukaryota; Metazoa; Chordata; Mammalia; Rodentia; Muridae.